This 3874-nucleotide unclassified non-coding RNA is filed under the name Hevea brasiliensis (rubber tree). Lineage: Eukaryota; Viridiplantae; Streptophyta; Magnoliopsida; Malpighiales; Euphorbiaceae. The record is from RNAcentral.
CUCUCCUCCUCCUGCGCCCCUCCGCCCUUUUCCUUGUUUCGUUUUUCAUAUACAUAGAGAGACAAGGUACUUACCUUGAUUCCUCCCUUUCUUUUCUCUUUGUUUCUUCCUUAGCUGUAAACUCACAAGAACUCCUUUCUUAUAUUUGGUUGUUUCUUUUGCUUCUUGCUCUUGUUUUUGCUUUCUGUAAAACCAGGGGCCGGUUUUUGGUCUAUUAUUACCUCUCAUUUUUUAAAUAUUGGGUUUUGGUUUUGUGGGCCAAUAGAGUACGAAGGUUCCUACUUGGGAUCGUUACUCUCUGAUGGAAAUGUGUUACUGAGGAGAUUUCUGCUUUUUUUGUCUAUCUUUCUCUGUAUAUGAACCAUCUACUACUCCUUUGCAUGUUUGAGGGUAAAGAAGAUCUGGAAGUGAGCUUGCUUUGCAGGUGAUCGGAAUGAAAGAUGCUGAUGUUUAAUUUUUAGAUGAAGGCAGCUGUUCUGCAACUUCCGUGAAAGAUUUAAUCUUUAUCCCCCAUAUGUAUUGAAAUAGCAGGUGCAGCCUUAUUGUUCACAAUGUUAAAACCUUUAGCUCUUAGGCUGCUGUUGCUUUCUUUACUCUUGAUAUCAGUAUCUGCAAAUGACAAUGGCUUUCCCCGGUGUAAUUGUGACGAUGAGGGCAGUUUAUGGAGCAUAGAGAACAUUUUAGAUUGCCAAAGAGUGAGCGAUUUCUUGAUUGCCGUGGCCUAUUUCUCGAUCCCUAUUGAGCUGCUAUACUUUGUUAGCUGCUCAAAUGUCCCGUUCAAAUGGGUCCUCUUUGAGUUCAUUGCCUUCAUUGUCCUUUGUGGAUUGACUCAUUUGCUCAAUGGCUGGACUUAUGGCCCUCAUCCAUUUCAGCUCAUGCUUGCCCUCACUGUCUUCAAGAUUUUAACUGCUUUGGUUUCUUGUGCCACUGCCAUUACUCUCUUCACCCUCAUUCCUUUACUUCUCAAAGUGAAGGUAAGAGAAUUCAUGUUGAAGAAAAAGGCAUGGGAUCUUGGCCGUGAAGUUGGGAUUAUAAUGAAGCAGAAAGAAGCUGGACUGCAUGUUCGUAUGCUUACUCAAGAGAUUCGAAAAUCGCUUGAUAGGCAUACUAUUCUUUAUACAACCCUUGUUGAGCUAUCUAAGACACUGGGGUUGCAGAAUUGCGCAGUGUGGAUGCCUAAUGAGAUCAGAACAGAGAUGAAUUUGACCCAUGAGUUGAAUGGGGGUAAUUAUUCAAGUAUGGAUAAUUGUUCAAUACCAAUUACUGAUCCUGAUGUUGCUAGGAUUAAAGGGAGUGAUGGAGUGAACAUACUUAGGCCUGAUUCAGCACUUGCUGCUGCAAGCAGUGGAGACCCUGGUGAGCCAGGGCCUAUUGCUGCAAUUCGAAUGCCAAUGCUUCGUGUUUGCAAUUUCAAAGGGGGAACUCCAGAGAUGAUUCAGGCUUGUUAUGCAAUAUUGGUGCUUGUUCUUCCAGGGGGACAGCCUAGAUCUUGGACCAACCAAGAAUUAGAGAUAAUUAAAGUGGUAGCUGAUCAGGUGGCUGUGGCUGUCUCCCAUGCUGCAGUUCUGGAAGAGUCCCAGCUCAUGAGGGAGAAGUUGGAGGAGCAAAACCGAGCCUUGCAACAGGCAAAAAUGAACGCAAUGAUGGCAAGCCAGGCUAGGACAGCAUUUCAGAAGGUAAUGAGUGAUGGUAUGAAGAGACCUAUGCACUCUAUUUUAGGCCUGAUUUCAAUGAUACAGGAUGGUAGGCUCAGUAGUGAGCAACAGAUCCUUGUUGAUGCAAUGAUGAAGACUAGCAAUGUCCUAGCAACAUUGAUAAAUGAUGUGAUGGAAAUUUCAACAAAGGAUAGUGGAAGGUUUCCAUUGGAGGUGAGAUCUUUCCGGUUACAUGCCACUAUCAAAGAGGCUGCUUGCCUUGCCAAGUGCUUAUGUGUUUAUAGGGGCUUUGGUUUUUCAAUUGAGGUUGACAAAUGCUUGCCUGAUCAUGUCUUGGGUGAUGAGAGGAGGGUUUUUCAAGUGAUUUUGCAUAUGGUUGGUAACCUGCUGGAUGGCAAUAACAUAAGAGGAUCUGUGGUACUUAGGUUUUUCUUGGAGAAUGGAAGUCAGGAAAGGAAUGAUCAUAAAUGGGCAGCUUGGAGAUCUAGCACGACUGAUGGAGAUGUAUAUAUCAGAUUUGAAAUCACAAUGAACAAUGAUGGUUUUGAAUCAGAGGGUUCAAGUUCAGUCAUGCAGCUUGGUGGUAGGACGUAUGCCAGUGAUGGAAUUGAUGAGGGCUUGAGCUUCAGUGUUUGCAAAAAGCUGGUCCAGUUGAUGCAUGGUAAGAUCUGGUUAGUCCCUAACUCUCAAGGUUUUCCUCAAAGCAUGGGGCUAGUUCUUCGGUUUCAACUUAGGCCAUCCAUUUCAAUAGCCAUCUCUGAAUCUGGAGAAUCUUCAGAGCACCCACAUUCCAACUCUCUUUUCAGAGGCUUGCAAGUUUUGUUAGCUGAUGCAGAUGAUGUGAACAGAGCUGUGACCCGGAAACUGCUUGAGAAGCUAGGUUGCUGUGUUGCUACUGUUUCAUCUGGAUUUGAAUGCCUUAGCAUCAUUGGGCCAACUACAUCUUCUUUCCAAAUUGUUCUUUUGGAUCUGCAGAUGCCUGAGUUGGAUGGAUUUGAAGUUGCAUCAAGAAUCAGGAAGUUCCGAAGCCGUAGUUGGCCAUUAAUUGUUGCGCUGACGGCAAGUGCUGAUGAUGAGAUGUGGGAAAGAUGUUUGCAGAUUGGAAUGAAUGGUGUCAUUCAGAAACCAGUUAUGCUUCAAGGAAUUGCAAACGAGCUUCGAAGAGUCCUUGUGCAGGCAAACAAAGCCAUCUGAUGACAUCCUGUAAGUUAUAUGAUUGCAGUUAGCCUUGAUUCUUGGAAAGCAGUUUUGGGGUCUGAUAGAACUAGUCAAAUAGCUACAAUUUGAUGGCCCCCUCCUAAAACUCCCACCAAGCUUCUAGCAUAGAAAUGUUUACAUAUACAAACAUUUACAGUGACAAUGGUAUACAAAAUUAGCUCCUUGCCAUUUCAUAAUUGCAAACAAAGAUGCACAUCUCAUAAAUUAUCUAAUUGUCUUAAACAAUACUCUUUACAUGAGCAGACAGCAUUGCGAGUUUGAAUGCAGGUUCUUAUGCAGGUGGUGGAGAGGAUAUUAAUGGUACAGAAGAGGUGAAUAACAGUACAUAGCGAGGAUUUAAAACCUGGCAAGCAUUAUAUUAUUCCCACAAUUCCCACAACAUAACUAAUACAAGUUGUCGUAGAUUUAUGUAUCAUUUUGUCUACGACAUGGAUAUCCAGAAGUUUAAUGUCAAGGUUUGUUUCAUGCAAUGAUUGAGACUUUCGCAGGCUUGCUAGUUAUUGCCUCGUGAAAUGAAUGAUCACGUGCCUUGCACAUACAGUCACCUCGCUGGCCAGGAAGGCAGGAUGUAUAGAUGUCGCAGAAUGUGGGCAGAAUAAUGGUAAUGUUAUUGGUAUGCUUCUGGUUUGGUUUCGUCAAAAAAAGCCAUGCAUGAAUCUCAAUACGUACGUACUAUUUUUGGGUUGAAAUAUCAAGCCAAGUGGACCCAUAUCAACAUGGGUUUUUCAAAUGAUUUAUAUUAACCUCACAUGAGAAGCUUUAUUGUAAUUUUCCAUGUGGGGAGUGAUUUAUCUUUAAGCUUGGCUUAGAUGGGUUUAUUCUAUAUAUAGAUAUAUUAUCCUUAAUAUUAUAAUAAUUAGUUUGCAACUUGCAACGCUUUUAUGGAUUUAGUUAUCCACGCCUUGGAAUUUUGGCCUAUGUGCAUAUGUUUUAGUUGUUAUCAUCUUCUUAUUUGUAGCACUUGACGUUAGAUCCUUUCUUCGAAUUAAUGUCCAUUGAAA